CGAUGAACCACAUUCGGUGUGGAUUAGUGGCGAACGGGUGAGUAACACGUGGGCAAUCUGCCCUGCACUCUGGGACAAGCCCUGGAAACGGGGUCUAAUACCGGAUACGAGCCUCCGAGGCAUCUUGGGGGUUGGAAAGCUCCGGCGGUGAAGGAUGAGCCCGCGGCCUAUCAGCUUGUUGGUGAGGUAACGGCUCACCAAGGCGACGACGGGUAGCCGGCCUGAGAGGGCGACCGGCCACACUGGGACUGAGACACGGCCCAGACUCCUACGGGAGGCAGCAGUGGGGAAUAUUGCACAAUGGGCGAAAGCCUGAUGCAGCGACGCCGCGUGAGGGAUGACGGCCUUCGGGUUGUAAACCUCUUUCAGCAGGGAAGAAGCGAAAGUGACGGUACCUGCAGAAGAAGCGCCGGCUAACUACGUGCCAGCAGCCGCGGUAAUACGUAGGGCGCAAGCGUUGUCCGGAAUUAUUGGGCGUAAAGAGCUCGUAGGCGGCUUGUCACGUCGGUUGUGAAAGCCCGGGGCUUAACCCCGGGUCUGCAGUCGAUACGGGCAGGCUAGAGUGCGGUAGGGGAGAUCGGAAUUCCUGGUGUAGCGGUGAAAUGCGCAGAUAUCAGGAGGAACACCGGUGGCGAAGGCGGAUCUCUGGGCCAUUACUGACGCUGAGGAGCGAAAGCGUGGGGAGCGAACAGGAUUAGAUACCCUGGUAGUCCACGCCGUAAACGGUGGGAACUAGGUGUGGGCGACAUUCCACGUCGUCCGGUGCCGCAGCUAACGCAUUAAGUUGCCCCGCCUGGGGAGUAC
This 804-nucleotide ribosomal RNA is filed under the name Streptomyces sp. RNAcentral's name for it is "bacterial SSU rRNA". It matches the Rfam family "Bacterial small subunit ribosomal RNA", at positions 67 to 883 of the family's 1533-position model. Lineage: Bacteria; Bacillati; Actinomycetota; Actinomycetes; Kitasatosporales; Streptomycetaceae. The record is from RNAcentral.